Molecule: ribosomal RNA, 460 nt
Filed under: uncultured bacterium
Lineage: Bacteria
Description: partial 16S ribosomal RNA
Rfam family: Bacterial small subunit ribosomal RNA
Source: RNAcentral
CCUACGGGUGGCAGCAGUGAGGAAUAUUGGUCAAUGGGCGGAAGCCUGAACCAGCCAAGUAGCGUGCAGGAUGACGGCCCUACGGGUUGUAAACUUCUUUUAUAUGGGAAUAAAAUGUUCCACGUGUGGGAUUUUGUAUGUACCAUAUGAAUAAGGAUCGGCUAACUCCGUGCCAGCAGCCGCGGUAAUACGGAGGAUCCGAGCGUUAUCCGGAUUUAUUGGGUUUAAAGGGAGCGUAGGUGGAUUGUUAAGUCAGUUGUGAAAGUUUGCGGCUCAACCGUAAAAUUGCAGUUGAAACUGGCAGUCUUGAGUACAGUAGAGGUGGGCGGAAUUCGUGGUGUAGCGGUGAAAUGCUUAGAUAUCACGAAGAACUCCGAUUGCGAAGGCAGCUCACUGGACUGCAACUGACACUGAGGCUCGAAAGUGUGGGUAUCAAACAGGAUUAGAUACCCCGGUAGUC